GACGAACGCUGGCGGCGUGCUUAACACAUGCAAGUCGAACGGGCCUUGUCCCCUUUUUUUUUGGGGGUGGGGUUAGUGGCGAACGGGUGAGUAACACGUGAGUAACCUGCCCCUCACUUCUGGAUAACCGCUUGAAAGGGUGGCUAAUACGGGGUGUUCUGGCCUGCUCGCAUGGGUGGGUUUGGAAAGAUUCGACCGGUUUUGGUUGUUUUGGUGGGGGAUGGGCUCGCGGCCUAUCAGCUUGUUGGUGGGGUGAUGGCCUGCCAAGGCUUUGACGGGUGGCCGGCCUGAGAGGGUGGGCGGGCACAAUGGGACUGAGACACGGCCCAGACUCCUACGGGAGGCAGCAGUGGGGAAUAUUGCACGAUGGGCGCAAGCCUGAUGCAGCGACGCCGCGUGAGGGAUGGAGGCCUUCGGGUUGUGAACCUCUUUCGCCAGUGAAGAAGGUCCUGCUCUUUGUGGUGGGGUUGACGGUAGCUGGGUUAAUGAAGCGCCGGCUAACUACGUG
RNAcentral lists this ribosomal RNA (508 nucleotides) under uncultured bacterium. Its description in RNAcentral is "partial 16S ribosomal RNA". It matches the Rfam family "Bacterial small subunit ribosomal RNA", at positions 28 to 507 of the family's 1533-position model. The record is from RNAcentral.